UUGUAACUGGCGGAGCGCGAUUAGGCCCUGCUCGAGGCGACUCUGAGCGGGCCUUGUCGGUGCCCUUCGCUUUGUCCCUUCACACACCCUGUGCACCUUUCUUUGCGGAGGGUUAGCGGUGGAUAACGCUGCGAGCCCCCGUGAUUACAAACUCUUAAAUCGUAACCUGUAUGUCGUUUCUAAUCGAAACAAUUGUAA
This 198-nucleotide unclassified non-coding RNA is filed under the name uncultured Brevicellicium. RNAcentral describes it as "sequence contains ITS1". Lineage: Eukaryota; Fungi; Basidiomycota; Agaricomycetes; Trechisporales; Hydnodontaceae. The record is from RNAcentral.